CCAGCUCCAUGAGGGGUCCCGGUUCCCCCGCCCCAGCUCCAUGAGGGGAUCCCGGUUCCCCCGCCCCAAAUCUUUGAGAGGUCCCGGUUCCCCCGCUGCGGCUCCUUGAGGGAUCCCGGUUCCCCCGCCCGGGUCUGGGGUCCCCCCAGGGCGCCCCCUGGGCUCCUCCACACGAGGGGUUCUCAGAAGUGUGGGGCUUCUUUUGUGCUUAAACUUCUGAGCUGUCUUCUGGUUAAUGUGCCCUGGCAGCUGGGCAUUCUUGCUGUCAUUUAUACAUUUGCUUGAGUGUUUCUGAUCGAUUUCUAGCUGGAGAUUGAGGAGUGUGGAAUGAGUAUUACAGGAGUAUUGUAGUAAUUGGAGCCUUCCCAGGAUCACAAAGUUACUGAGAUUGGAAAAUCCCUCCAGGAUCAUCGAGUCUGAGCUGUGCCCGAUGCCCACUUUGUCCCCAGCCCAGAGUGCCACUUCCAUCCUUCCUUGGACACCUCCAGGGACGGGGACUCCAAACCUCCCUGGCCACUUCCAAGGCCUGGCCGCCCUUUCCAUGAGGAAAUUCCUGCUGCUGUCCAAGCUGAGCCUCCCCUGGCCCAGCCUGAGGCCGUUCCCUCUCCUCCUGUCCCUGGGAUAACAUCCCAAAUCCCAAAAUCCCAAAUCCCCCUGGCUGCUCUCUCCUAUCAGGGAAUUAUGCAAAGCCAGGAAGUCACAGACACCACUUGAUUUUUUAUUUUUUUAUUAACCUAACAUCAGUUUGUAGAAAUAAAUACAGCUCCUACAUCCCAUGAGAGAGCCCUCGUGUUCUGAAACACCAUUGAUGCCUCCAGCUCUGUAAUUAUCCCUGAGCCAGGUAAAAUCCAAAAUUAAAAAAAAAAAAUAAAUCCAUGGCUCCAGAAUGUUGUCUUGGAUUUUUUUUAUUCCAAAUCAGAGGGGCUGGCAGGGUGAGGCAGCCACCACACAGCACUCAGGGUUUUACCAGCCUCAGCACAACCACCUUCCUGCUCAGGGGUUCUUACACACUGCAGAUGUUUCAACUAAAUAUCAGCAUCCUCUCAAUCUGCAGGUUUGCCUUUUUAUUAUAAAUAUCGUGAUGAGGUGUGACAAGGGUGGGGAAUGUGGAAAACAUUGGAGGUGCAUGUGGAUAUAACUGUGGAGGAACGUUCUGGAAAUCAAUCUCAAAUUAUGUAUCUAAAAUGUAACGAGCAGAUUUCUUGAAGUUGUACUUCGGGUCGUUUUUUUUUUAAAAAAUAAAAUAAAAGCGUAAUUUUCUUUAGCAA
Non-coding RNA from Cyanistes caeruleus (blue tit), 1268 nucleotides. NCBI's taxonomy places the organism in Eukaryota, Metazoa, Chordata, Aves, Passeriformes, Paridae. The record is from RefSeq and is a predicted model, not a curated record.